This 373-nucleotide ribosomal RNA is filed under the name uncultured bacterium. RNAcentral describes it as "bacterial SSU rRNA". It matches the Rfam family "Bacterial small subunit ribosomal RNA", at positions 29 to 419 of the family's 1533-position model. The record is from RNAcentral.
AAUGAACGUUGGCGGCGUGGAUUAGGCAUGCAAGUCGAGCGCUCAUAGCAAUAUGGGAGCGGCGAACGGCGUAGGAAUUCAUAGGAACGUACCCUCAGGUCGGGGAUAGCUACGGGAAACUGUAGGUAAUACCCGAUGAUCUCUGCGGAGCAAAGGUGUGAUUCCGCCUGAGGAGCGGCUUAUGUGAUAUUAGCUAGUUGGUGGGGUAAUGGCCUACCAAGGCGAAGAUGUCUAGGGGGUGUGAGAGCAUGGCCCCCCACGACCGGAACUGAGAUACUGUCCGGACACCUACGGGUGGGCUGCAGUCGAGAAUCUUCCGCAAUGGACGAAAAGUACUGACGGAGCGACGCCGCGUGCGGGAGUGAAGGCCCUU